RNAcentral lists this ribosomal RNA (253 nucleotides) under uncultured bacterium. RNAcentral describes it as "partial 16S ribosomal RNA". It matches the Rfam family "Bacterial small subunit ribosomal RNA", at positions 524 to 776 of the family's 1533-position model. The record is from RNAcentral.
GACAGAGGUCCCGAGCGUUGGGCGGAAUCACUGGGCUUAAAGCGUGCGUAGGCGGAUUGGUAAGUACCUUGUGAAAUCCCACGGCUUAACCGUGGAACUGCUUGGUAUACUGCUUAUCUUGGGCCACUUAGGGGUUACCGGAACAAACGGUGGAGCGGUGAAAUGCGUAGAUAUCGGGAGGAACGCCGGUGGCGAAAGCGACUGUCUGGGGUGCAUGUGACGCUGAGGCGCGAAAGCCAGGGGAUCAAACGGG